AUCCUUUUGUAGUUCACAAGUGUGAUGAUUGGGUUGUCACGAGCCUGUGUGUGAUGUGCUUCCCUCAAACCUUAUUAUGCUGUCAGCACAUUACCUGUCUGAUG
Small nucleolar RNA from Lemur catta (Ring-tailed lemur), 104 nucleotides. RefSeq annotates it as small nucleolar RNA U13. The transcript has a single exon. Lineage: Eukaryota; Metazoa; Chordata; Mammalia; Primates; Lemuridae. The record is from RefSeq and is a predicted model, not a curated record.